This 253-nucleotide ribosomal RNA is filed under the name uncultured bacterium. Its description in RNAcentral is "partial 16S ribosomal RNA". It matches the Rfam family "Bacterial small subunit ribosomal RNA", at positions 524 to 776 of the family's 1533-position model. The record is from RNAcentral.
UACAUGGGGUGCAAACGUUGCUCGGUAUUAUUGGGCGUAAAGCGCGCGUAGGCGGUUACUUAAGUCGGAUGUGAAAGCCCUCGGCUUAACUGAGGAAGUGCACCCGAAACUGAGUAGCUAGAGUACGAAAGAGGGUCGCGGAAUUCCCGGUGUAGAGGUGAAAUUCGUAGAUAUCGGGAGGAACACCGGUGGCGAAGGCGGCGACCUGGGUCGAGACUGACGCUGAGGCGCGAAAGCGUGGGGAGCAAACAGG